UACGGGGGGAGCAAGCGUUGUUCGGAUUUACUGGGCGUAAAGGGCGCGUAGGCGGCGCGACAAGUCACUUGUGAAAUCUCUGGGCUCAACCCAGAACGGUCAAGUGAUACUGUCGUGCUAGAGUGCGGAAGGGGCAACUGGAAUUCUUGGUGUAGCGGUGAAAUGCGUAGAUAUCAAGAGGAACACCUGCGGCGAAGGCGGGUUGCUGGGCCGACACUGACGCUGAGGCGCGAAAGCGUGGGGAGCGAACAGG
Molecule: ribosomal RNA, 253 nt
Filed under: uncultured bacterium
Lineage: Bacteria
Description: partial 16S ribosomal RNA
Rfam family: Bacterial small subunit ribosomal RNA
Source: RNAcentral